Molecule: ribosomal RNA, 253 nt
Filed under: uncultured bacterium
Lineage: Bacteria
Description: partial 16S ribosomal RNA
Rfam family: Bacterial small subunit ribosomal RNA
Source: RNAcentral
UACGAAGGGGGCUAGCGUUGUUCGGAUUUACUGGGCGUAAAGCGCACGUAGGCGGAUCGAUCAGUCAGGGGUGAAAUCCCAGAGCUCAACUCUGGAACUGCCUUUGAUACUGUCGAUCUGGAGUAUGGAAGAGGUGAGUGGAAUUCCGAGUGUAGAGGUGAAAUUCGUAGAUAUUCGGAAGAACACCAGUGGCGAAGGCGACUUACUGGACAACUGUUGACGCUGAGGUGCGAAAGCGUGGAGAGCAAACAGG